Molecule: ribosomal RNA, 442 nt
Filed under: uncultured bacterium
Lineage: Bacteria
Description: partial 16S ribosomal RNA
Rfam family: Bacterial small subunit ribosomal RNA
Source: RNAcentral
CCUACGGGAGACAGCAGUGGGGAAUAUUGGGCAAUGGGCACAAGCCUGACCCAGCAACGCCGCGUGAAGGAAGAAGGCUUUCGGGUUGUAAACUUCUUUUGUCAGGGAAGAGUAGAAGACGGUACCUGACGAAUAAGCCACGGCUAACUACGUGCCAGCAGCCGCGGUAAUACGUAGGUGGCAAGCGUUGUCCGGAUUUACUGGGUGUAAAGGGCGUGUAGCCGGGUUGACAAGUCAGAUGUGAAAUCCUGCGGCUUAACCGCAGAACUGCAUUUGAAACUGUUGAUCUUGAGUACUGGAGAGGCAGACGGAAGUCCUAGUGUAGCGGUGAAAUGCGUAGAUAGUAGGAGGAACACCAGUGGCGAAGGCGGUCUGCUGGACAGCAACUGACGGUGAGGCGCGAAAGCGUGGGGAGCAAACAGGAUUAGAUACCCGAGUAGUC